UGUGACUGCGUACCUUUUGUAUAAUGGGUCAGCGACUUAUAUUCUGUAGCAAGGUUAACCGAAUAGGGGAGCCGGAGGGAAACCGAGUCUUAAUUGGGCGUUAAGUUGCAGGGUAUAGACCCGAAACCCGGUGAUCUAGCCAUGGGCAGGUUGAAGGUUGGGUAACACUAACUGGAGGACCGAACCGACUAAUGUUGAAAAAUUAGCGGAUGACCUGUGGCUGGGGGUGAAAGGCCAAUCAAACCGGGAGAUAGCUGGUUCUCCCCGAAAGCUAUUUAGGUAGCGCCUCGUGAAUUCAUCUCCGGGGGUAGAGCACUGUUUCGGCUAGGGGGCCAUCCCGGCUUACCAACCCGAUGCAAACUGCGAAUACCGGAGAAUGUUAUCACGGGAGACACACGGCGGGUGCUAACGUCCGUCGUGAAGAGGGAAACAACCCAGACCGCCAGCUAAGGUCCCAAAGUCAUGGUUAAGUGGGAAACGAUGUGGGAAGGCCCAGACAGCCAGGAUGUUGGCUUAGAAGCAGCCAUCAUUUAAAGAAAGCGUAAUAGCUCACUGGUCGAGUCGGCCUGCGCGGAAGAUGUAACGGGGCUAAACCAUGCACCGAAGCUGCGGCAGCGACACUAUGUGUUGUUGGGUAGGGGAGCGUUCUGUAAGCCUGCGAAGGUGGCCUGUGAGGGUUGCUGGAGGUAUCAGAAGUGCGAAUGCUGACAUAAGUAACGAUAAAGCGGGUGAAAAGCCCGCUCGCCGGAAGACCAAGGGUUCCUGUCCAACGUUAAUCGGGGCAGGGUGAGUCGACCCCUAAGGCGAGGCCGAAAGGCGUAGUCGAUGGGAAACGGGUUAAUAUUCCCGUACUUGGUGUUACUGCGAAGGGGGGACGGAGAAGGCUAUGUUGGCCGGGCGACGGUUGUCCCGGUUUAAGCGUGUAGGUGUGUGUUCCAGGUAAAUCCGGUUCACUUUAACACUGAGGCGUGACGACGAGGCACUACGGUGCUGAAGCAACAAAUGCCCUGCUUCCAGGAAAAGCCUCUAAGCAUCAGGUAACAUCAAAUCGUACCCCAAACCGACACAGGUGGUCAGGUAGAGAAUACCAAGGCGCUUGAGAGAACUCGGGUGAAGGAACUAGGCAAAAUGGUGCCGUAACUUCGGGAGAAGGCACGCUGACACGUAGGUGAAGUGAUUUACUCACGGAGCUGAAGUCAGUCGAAGAUACCAGCUGGCUGCAACUGUUUAUUAAAAACACAGCACUGUGCAAACACGAAAGUGGACGUAUACGGUGUGACGCCUGCCCGGUGCCGGAAGGUUAAUUGAUGGGGUCAGCGCAAGCGAAGCUCCUGAUCGAAGCCCCGGUAAACGGCGGCCGUAACUAUAACGGUCCUAAGGUAGCGAAAUUCCUUGUCGGGUAAGUUCCGACCUGCACGAAUGGCGUAAUGAUGGCCAGGCUGUCUCCACCCGAGACUCAGUGAAAUUGAACUCGCUGUGAAGAUGCAGUGUACCCGCGGCAAGACGGAAAGACCCCGUGAACCUUUACUAUAGCUUGACACUGAACAUUGAGCCUUGAUGUGUAGGAUAGGUGGGAGGCUUUGAAGCGUGGACGCCAGUCUGCGUGGAGCCGACCUUGAAAUACCACCCUUUAAUGUUUGAUGUUCUAACGUGGACCCGUGAUCCGGGUUGCGGACAGUGUCUGGUGGGUAGUUUGACUGGGGCGGUCUCCUCCUAAAGAGUAACGGAGGAGCACGAAGGUUGGCUAAUCCUGGUCGGACAUCAGGAGGUUAGUGCAAUGGCAUAAGCCAGCUUGACUGCGAGCGUGACGGCGCGAGCAGGUGCGAAAGCAGGUCAUAGUGAUCCGGUGGUUCUGAAUGGAAGGGCCAUCGCUCAACGGAUAAAAGGUACUCCGGGGAUAACAGGCUGAUACCGCCCAAGAGUUCAUAUCGACGGCGGUGUUUGGCACCUCGAUGUCGGCUCAUCACAUCCUGGGGCUGAAGUAGGUCCCAAGGGUAUGGCUGUUCGCCAUUUAAAGUGGUACGCGAGCUGGGUUUAGAACGUCGUGAGACAGUUCGGUCCCUAUCUGCCGUGGGCGCUGGAGAACUGAGGGGGGCUGCUCCUAGUACGAGAGGACCGGAGUGGACGCAUCACUGGUGUUCGGGUUGUCAUGCCAAUGGCACUGCCCGGUAGCUAAAUGCGGAAGAGAUAAGUGCUGAAAGCAUCUAAGCACGAAACUUGCCCCGAGAUGAGUUCUCCCUGAGACUUUAGGUCUCCUGAAGGAACGUUGAAGACGACGACGUUGAUAGGCCGGGUGUGUAAGCGCAGCGAUGCGUUGAGCUAACCGGUACUAAUGAACCGUGAGGCUUAACCUUACA
RNAcentral lists this ribosomal RNA (2357 nucleotides) under Salmonella enterica. RNAcentral's name for it is "partial 23S ribosomal RNA". It matches the Rfam family "Bacterial large subunit ribosomal RNA", at positions 592 to 2925 of the family's 2925-position model. The record is from RNAcentral. Lineage: Bacteria; Pseudomonadati; Pseudomonadota; Gammaproteobacteria; Enterobacterales; Enterobacteriaceae.